UUAUGCGUACCACAAUUCAAACCCACUCUGCGUACCUUUCCUGUUGCUUCCAUGGGAGCGGCUAACCUUCCUCCUGCGUGGGGGAGGUCCCCCGAGACAAGCCCCUGCUAUCGAUGCAGGCGGUGUGGUCUUGGUCCAUGAAGACACCUUCCUGCGGAGGGUGUGAAGAAAACCAUUUGCAUUAUCUUGCCAUCAGUCUGAAUUUUGUUAAUAACAAUCGUUAAAACUUUCAACAACGGAUCUCUUGGUUCUCGCAUCGAUGAAGAACGCAGCGAAAUGCGAUAAGUAGUGUGAAUUGCAGAAUUCAGUGAAUCAUCGAAUCUUUGAACGCACAUUGCGCCUCCUGGCAUUCCGGGAGGCAUGCCUGUUCGAGCGUCAUAAAAACCCACUCAAGCUCUUUGGCUUGGUUAUGGAGGUUGAGCUACACCCUUUGGUGACCUCACCUUCGAAAUUGAGAGGCGGAUUGCCCCGUGUUGCCCUGGCGUUAUAAGUUUGCUCUUUCGCUUGGAUUCCAUG
This 516-nucleotide ribosomal RNA is filed under the name Otidea leporina. RNAcentral's name for it is "eukaryotic LSU rRNA". The stretch from base 225 to 378 matches the Rfam family "5.8S ribosomal RNA". The record is from RNAcentral. Lineage: Eukaryota; Fungi; Ascomycota; Pezizomycetes; Pezizales; Pyronemataceae.